RNAcentral lists this ribosomal RNA (414 nucleotides) under Triticum aestivum (bread wheat). RNAcentral's name for it is "partial small subunit ribosomal RNA". Lineage: Eukaryota; Viridiplantae; Streptophyta; Magnoliopsida; Poales; Poaceae. The record is from RNAcentral.
AUGCCCUCCACGUACGUCACGCCGGACCUCUUCUUCGCCGCCGCCGCCGCCGGCGCGCCGGCGAGCUGCGGGAGCGUGGCCACGGAGAGCGACGCCAUCGGUCGAGCUCGGCUGAACCUGCAGUCAGUCAGAGACAAGCAAGGGCUGCGUAAUCCGUCGCGAGCUGCGAUGAUCUGGUGCGGGGAAUGUGGGUUGGGUUGCUUGCUUACCUCCGGUGGUUGUCGAGUUCUUGGCGCUGGAGGAGGAAGGAGUGUGGCCGGCUGCGGUGCUUGGGGUUGGGUGGGUCACAUAGAGGGAAAGGAGUGGUUUUUGUACGGGGGAUCAGGGAAGGAUAAGGUGCGGGAGGGAACGGGCGGUGGCCGGAGGGCAGUUUAUCCUUGCUCCUCGAAAGGAGAAGGUCCAAUUGGUGGCUAG